UUGGAGAGUUUGAUCCUGGCUCAGGACGAACGCUGGCGGCGUGCCUAAUACAUGCAAGUCGAGCGGAGUCACUUUGAAAGCUUGCUUUCAAAGUGACUUAGCGGCGGACGGGUGAGUAACACGUAGGCAACCUGCCCCUUAGACUGGGAUAACUACCGGAAACGGUAGCUAAUACCGGAUAAUUUCUUUUUUCUCCUGAAGGAAGAAUGAAAGACGGAGCAAUCUGUCACUGAGGGAUGGGCCUGCGGCGCAUUAGCUAGUUGGUGGGGUAACGGCCCACCAAGGCGACGAUGCGUAGCCGACCUGAGAGGGUGAACGGCCACACUGGGACUGAGACACGGCCCAGACUCCUACGGGAGGCAGCAGUAGGGAAUCUUCCGCAAUGGACGAAAGUCUGACGGAGCAACGCCGCGUGAGUGAUGAAGGUUUUCGGAUCGUAAAGCUCUGUUGCCAGGGNAAGAA
Molecule: ribosomal RNA, 462 nt
Filed under: Paenibacillaceae bacterium
Lineage: Bacteria; Bacillati; Bacillota; Bacilli; Caryophanales; Paenibacillaceae
Description: bacterial SSU rRNA
Rfam family: Bacterial small subunit ribosomal RNA
Source: RNAcentral